RNAcentral lists this long non-coding RNA (359 nucleotides) under Nicotiana benthamiana. Its description in RNAcentral is "long non-coding RNA (NBEN_LNC012108)". Lineage: Eukaryota; Viridiplantae; Streptophyta; Magnoliopsida; Solanales; Solanaceae. The record is from RNAcentral.
AUGGAUUUAAGAGAGAAACAAGAAAACCACGAAAAUGGCUUAGGCUUUCAGAGAAACCCUAGAAAAAUGAGAAAGGCCUGGAAAGGGCUGCUCGAGUCAGAGAUGAACUCGCAAGGCUAGGACACGUUGGAGAUGAGCCGGAGAUGGCCAUAGCACCGGAAUUGGAGAUCUGAGCUAGGGUCUUUAGGACUGGACCUUGGAACUUCAUGUAGCAGGAGAAUAACGGCAUGUGGGGGUGAGUACAGGUCACCUAGGGCCUGAGAUGCCAUGAUUUCCGGCGAGAUAAGGCGGAAACCGGUGAGAUGUGGCUAGGGUUUCGGAGAUGACUUGAGAGGAUUUGGGAACGAAGGGGUUUCAGG